GUACGCUGGCGGCACGCCUAACACAUGCAAGUCGAACGAAGUAGCAAUACUUAGUGGCAGACGGGUGAGUAACAUGUAGGUAUCUGCCCUUUGGCCUGGAAUAACACGAGGAAACUUGUGCUAAUACUGGAUAAGUCUUUACGGAGAAAGCUUUAUGCACCAUUGGAUGAGCCUGCACUUGAUUAGUUUGUUGGUAGGGUAAUGGCCUACCAAGACUGUGAUCAAUAGCUGAUUUGAGAGGAUGAUCAGCCACAUUGGGACUGAGACACGGCCCAAACUCCUACGGGAGGCAGCAGUGGGGAAUCUUGCACAAUGGAGGAAACUCUGAUGCAGCGAUGCCGCGUGAGUGAAGAAGGCCUUUGGGUUGUAAAGCUCUUUCGUCGGGGAAGAAAAUGACUGUACCCGAAUAAGAAGGUCCGGCUAACU
Molecule: ribosomal RNA, 426 nt
Filed under: uncultured bacterium
Lineage: Bacteria
Description: bacterial SSU rRNA
Rfam family: Bacterial small subunit ribosomal RNA
Source: RNAcentral